UACGGAGGGUGCGAGCGUUGUCCGGAAUUAUUGGGCGUAAAGCGCGCGUAGGCGGCCCGGUAAGUCCGUUGUGAAAGUCAAAGGCUCAACCUUUGAACGCCGAUGGAUACUGCCGGGCUAGAGUCCGGAAGAGGCGAGUGGAAUUCCUGGUGUAGCGGUGGAAUGCGCAGAUAUCAGGAGGAACACCAAUAGCGAAGGCAGCUCGCUGGGACGGUACUGACGCUGAGGCGCGAAAGCCAGGGGAGCGAACGGG
This 253-nucleotide ribosomal RNA is filed under the name uncultured bacterium. Its description in RNAcentral is "partial 16S ribosomal RNA". It matches the Rfam family "Bacterial small subunit ribosomal RNA", at positions 524 to 776 of the family's 1533-position model. The record is from RNAcentral.